CAUUAAAAAAGGAUACCGGGCAACCGGUAGACCCCACCCGUGUCUAUCUACUCUUGUUGCUUUGGCAGGCCGUGGCCUCCACCGUGGGCUCUGCCUGCGCGUGCCUGCCAGAGGACCAAACUCUGAAUUUUAGUGAUGUCUGAGUACUAUAUAAUAGUUAAAACUUUCAACAACGGAUCUCUUGGUUCUGGCAUCGAUGAAGAACGCAGCGAAAUGCGAUAAGUAAUGUGAAUUGCAGAAUUCAGUGAAUCAUCGAAUCUUUGAACGCACAUUGCGCCCGGUGGUAUUCCGCCGGGCAUGCCUGUUCGAGCGUCAUUAUAACCACUCAAGCCUGGCUUGGUAUUGGGGUUCGCGGUUCCGCGGCCCCUAAAAUCAGUGGCGGUGCCGGUGGGCUCUAAGCGUAGUAAAUCUCCUCGCUAUAGGGUCCCUCCGGUUGCUCGCCAGAACCCCCAAUUUUUUAAGGUUGACCUCGGAUCAGGUAGGGAUACCCGCUGAACUUAAGCAUAUCAAUAAGCGGAGGAAAAGAAACCAACAGGGAUUACCUCAGUAACGGCGAGUGAAGCGGUAACAGCUCAAAUUUGAAAGCUGCCAACAGGCCGCGUUGUAAUUUGUAGAAGAUGCUUUGGGGGUAGGCCUAGUCUAAGUUCCUUGGAACAGGACGUCAUAGAGGGUGAGAAUCCCGUAUGUGAUUAGUGCCUUCUCCCGUGUAAAGCUCUUUCGACGAGUCGAGUUGUUUGGGAAUGCAGCUCAAAAUGGGUGGUAUAUUUCAUCUAAAGCUAAAUAUUGGCCAGAGACCGAUAGCGCACAAGUAGAGUGAUCGAAAGAUGAAAAGCACUUUGGAAAGAGAGUUAAACAGUACGUGAAAUUGUUGAAAGGGAAGCGCUUGCAACCAGACUUGCAGGCGGUCGAUCAUCCGAGGUUCUCCCCGGUGCACUCGAUCGUCUUCAGGCCAGCAUCGGUUUUGGUGGCGGGAUAAAGGCUCUAGGAAUGUGGCUCUUCGGAGUGUUAUAGCCUAGGGUGCAAUGCCGCCUACCGGGACCGAGGACCGCGCUUCGGCUAGGA
Molecule: ribosomal RNA, 1062 nt
Filed under: Helotiales sp. EF804
Lineage: Eukaryota; Fungi; Ascomycota; Leotiomycetes; Helotiales
Description: eukaryotic LSU rRNA
Rfam family: Eukaryotic large subunit ribosomal RNA (bases 465-1062)
Source: RNAcentral